AACGAACGCUGGCGGCAUGCCUAACACAUGCAAGUCGAACGAUUGCCUUCGGUUGAUAGUGGCGCACGGGUGCGUAACGCGAGGGAAUCUGCCCUUCGGUUCGGACUAACCGCUGGCAACGGCUUCUCAUACCGGAUGAUAUCGCGAGAUCGGAGAUUUAUCGCCUGGGGCUGUGGCGGGGUUGGAUUGGUUUUGUGGCGGGGUAAGGGCCUACCACGCCGUCGCUCCAUAGCUGGUCGGGGAGGAUGAUCAGCCACGCUGGGACUGAGACACAGCACAGACUACUACGGGAGGCAGCAGGGGGGAAUAUUGGACAAUGGGCGCAAGCGGGAUCGAGCAAUGCCGGGUGAGAGAUGAAGGCGCUAGGGAUGUAAAGCUCUUUUGCCCGGGAAGAUAAUGACGGUACCGGGAGAAGAAGCCCCGGCUAACUACGUG
Molecule: ribosomal RNA, 435 nt
Filed under: uncultured bacterium
Lineage: Bacteria
Description: partial 16S ribosomal RNA
Rfam family: Bacterial small subunit ribosomal RNA
Source: RNAcentral